RNAcentral lists this ribosomal RNA (395 nucleotides) under Ligilactobacillus murinus. RNAcentral describes it as "bacterial SSU rRNA". It matches the Rfam family "Bacterial small subunit ribosomal RNA", at positions 69 to 438 of the family's 1533-position model. The record is from RNAcentral. Lineage: Bacteria; Bacillati; Bacillota; Bacilli; Lactobacillales; Lactobacillaceae.
AAACUUCUUUAUCACCGAGUGCUUGCACUCACCGAUAAAGAGUUGAGUGGCGAACGGGUGAGUAACACGUGGGCAACCUGCCCAAAAGAGGGGGAUAACACUUGGAAACAGGUGCUAAUACCGCAUAACCAUAGUUACCGCAUGGUAACUAUGUAAAAGGUGGCUAUGCUACCGCUUUUGGAUGGGCCCGCGGCGCAUUAGCUAGUUGGUGAGGUAAAGGCUUACCAAGGCAAUGAUGCGUAGCCGAACUGAGAGGUUGAUCGGCCACAUUGGGACUGAGACACGGCCCAAACUCCUACGGGAGGCAGCAGUAGGGAAUCUUCCACAAUGGGCGAAAGCCUGAUGGAGCAACGCCGCGUGGGUGAAGAAGGUCUUCGGAUCGUAAAACCCUGUUG